ACAUCUGCCAAAAGAUGAAACUAUAAAAUAGGUAUCAUUGCCCCUUUCUUAUUUGUCUCAUUUGCGAAUCGUCAGAAGCUAAACCUCUAAUUGUCACUGCUUUAACUUCUACUGAUCUAAAUCCAAACCUUUAAGAUGAAAUCCAUCCUUUUGAUCGUGCUGUGUGUGUUUUUGAUGGCCUCUGCAAAAGUUGUCAUGGCAGGGCAUGGUUGUUACUGUGUGUAUCACAACGACAAAACGUGCAGUGAUUAUUGCCAGGGCGAACUUAGCUGCAGAGGUGGAUACUGCGGUUCGGCUUGGUGUGUUUGCAAAUGUGUUGGUUGCAAUGGGUAACUGGAAAGAUAGAAUGGGAAUCAGACAACAUAACCGCUUUGUCGCAAUGAAUUGAUAUUAAAUCAUUAAAAAAAAAUUGGUUGUUAGUUCGUUAGUUAUUUUAAAUUUAAUGA
This is a long non-coding RNA of Saccostrea echinata, 446 nucleotides long. RefSeq lists it as uncharacterized. The record is from RefSeq and is a predicted model, not a curated record. The transcript is spliced from 4 exons. Lineage: Eukaryota; Metazoa; Mollusca; Bivalvia; Ostreida; Ostreidae.